UACGUAGGUCCCGAGCGUUGUCCGGAUUUAUUGGGCGUAAAGCUAGCGCAGGUGGUUUAUUAAGUCUGGUGUAAAAGGCAGUGGCUCAACCAUUGUAUGCAUUGGAAACUGGUAGACUUGAGUGCAGGAGAGGAGAGUGGAAUUCCAUGUGUAGCGGUGAAAUGCGUAGAUAUAUGGAGGAACACCGGUGGCGAAAGCGGCUCUCUGGCCUGUAACUGACACUGAGGCUCGAAAGCGUGGGGAGCAAACAGG
RNAcentral lists this ribosomal RNA (252 nucleotides) under uncultured bacterium. RNAcentral describes it as "partial 16S ribosomal RNA". It matches the Rfam family "Bacterial small subunit ribosomal RNA", at positions 524 to 776 of the family's 1533-position model. The record is from RNAcentral.